CAGAAAGGAAUGGCAGGAAAUCUUCAAUGGGAUGAACAGAAAAGAUAUGCAGCCAAGAAUCCUUUACCAGCAAGGCCUUCAUUCAGAGUAGAAGGAAAGAUAGAGUUUCCCAGACAUACAAAAACUGAAGGAGUU
Molecule: long non-coding RNA, 135 nt
Organism: Herpailurus yagouaroundi (jaguarundi)
Lineage: Eukaryota; Metazoa; Chordata; Mammalia; Carnivora; Felidae
Exons: 2
Source: RefSeq, a predicted model, not a curated record